AAGAGACAGCAGCCGCCACGGGAAUACGGAGGGUGCAAGCGUUAUCCGGAUUUAUUGGGUUUAAAGGGUCCGUAGGCGGAUCUGUAAGUCAGUGGUGAAAUCUCACAGCUUAACUGUGAAACUGCCAUUGAUACUGCAGGUCUUGAGUAAAUUUGAAGUGGCUGGAAUAAGUAGUGUAGCGGUGAAAUGCAUAGAUAUUACUUAGAACACCAAUUGCGAAGGCAGGUCACUAAGAUUUAACUGACGCUGAUGGACGAAAGCGUGGGGAGCGAACAGGAUUAGAUACCCGCGUAGUCCCUGUCUCUUAUAC
Molecule: ribosomal RNA, 310 nt
Filed under: uncultured bacterium
Lineage: Bacteria
Description: partial 16S ribosomal RNA
Rfam family: Bacterial small subunit ribosomal RNA
Source: RNAcentral